AGCAGCCGCGGUAAUUCCAGCUCCAAUAGCGUAUAUUAAAGUUGUUGCAGUUAAAAAGCUCGUAGUUGAACUUCGGGAUCAAUUGAUUGGUCAUGCCAUUGGUAUGUACUGGUCAUAUUGGUUCUCACCUUCUAAGGAACCAUAAUGUCAUUCAUUUGAUGUUUUGGGGAAUUAGGACUGUUACCUUGAAAAAAUUAGAGUGUUUAAAGCAGGCUAACGCUUGAAUACAUUAGCAUGGAAUAAUGAAAUAGGACAUCGCAUUCUAUUUUGUUGGUUUCUAGGAUCGAUGUA
RNAcentral lists this ribosomal RNA (291 nucleotides) under uncultured Glomus. RNAcentral describes it as "partial small subunit ribosomal RNA". It matches the Rfam family "Eukaryotic small subunit ribosomal RNA", at positions 569 to 864 of the family's 1831-position model. Lineage: Eukaryota; Fungi; Glomeromycota; Glomeromycetes; Glomerales; Glomeraceae. The record is from RNAcentral.